AAAAAAGAGAGAGAGAGAGAAAGAAAGACAGGGCACAGUUAGUUUCAAACACAUUAAAUGGUUGAUUAAAAAGGAUGAUAAACUAAUUGAAAACCACAUAUAUAAUUGCACCACGCACGCAAACAAAAGACCAUCCAUUUACAUAGUAUAAACAGAAAGGACCUUUCCACAAGAUUUUAGAACUUAUGAUCAGAUAUGCCAAGGCCUAGUGUUAUUAGAGAACAAAGUUCUUGAGGUCCAUUUUUAUCUUGGAUACUAAUGUUAUUCAUCUACAGAAAACUAAUAUCAAAGGUAGAUGACAAUACUUACAGCCAUGGCAUCAGCAA
RNAcentral lists this unclassified non-coding RNA (326 nucleotides) under Hevea brasiliensis (rubber tree). The record is from RNAcentral. Lineage: Eukaryota; Viridiplantae; Streptophyta; Magnoliopsida; Malpighiales; Euphorbiaceae.